UACGGGGGGGGCAAGCGUUGUUAGAAAUUACUGGGCGUAAGGGGCGCGUAGGCGGGUGGCCAAGUCUAUCGUGAAAGCCCACGGCUCAACCGUGGAAUUGCGGGAGAUACUGUCAGGCUUGAGUCCGGGAGAGGAGUGUGGAAUUCCCAGUGUAGCGGUGAAAUGCGUAGGUAUUGGGAGGAUCACCGGUGGCGAAGGCGGCUCUCUGGACCGGUACUGACGCUGAGGCGCGAAAGCUAGGUGAGCAAACGGG
RNAcentral lists this ribosomal RNA (253 nucleotides) under uncultured bacterium. RNAcentral describes it as "partial 16S ribosomal RNA". It matches the Rfam family "Bacterial small subunit ribosomal RNA", at positions 524 to 776 of the family's 1533-position model. The record is from RNAcentral.